This 73-nucleotide transfer RNA is filed under the name Candidatus Portiera aleyrodidarum (primary endosymbiont of Bemisia tabaci). RNAcentral's name for it is "tRNA-Asn (GTT) (tRNA-Asn-GTT-1-1)". It matches the Rfam family "tRNA". From Rfam's summary of the family: Transfer RNA (tRNA) molecules are approximately 80 nucleotides in length. Lineage: Bacteria; Pseudomonadati; Pseudomonadota; Gammaproteobacteria; Johnevansiales (SeqCode); Johnevansiaceae (SeqCode). The record is from RNAcentral. RNAcentral also lists the same sequence under 1 other name.
UCCUCGAUAGCUCAGUUGGUAGAGCAAAUGACUGUUAAUCAUUAGGUCACAGGUUCGAAUCCUGUUCGGGGAG